Molecule: ribosomal RNA, 253 nt
Filed under: uncultured bacterium
Lineage: Bacteria
Description: partial 16S ribosomal RNA
Rfam family: Bacterial small subunit ribosomal RNA
Source: RNAcentral
UACGUAGGGUGCAAGCGUUAAUCGGAAUUACUGAGCGUAAAGCGUGCGCAGGCGGUGAUGUAAGACAGAUGUGAAAUCCCCGGGCUCAACCUGGGAACUGCAUUUGUGACUGCAUCGCUGGAGUGCGGCAGAGGGGGAUGGAAUUCCGCGUGUAGCAGUGAAAUGCGUAGAUAUGCGGAGGAACACCGAUGGCGAAGGCAAUCCCCUGGGCCUGCACUGACGCCCAUGCACGAAAGCGUGGGGAGCAAACAGG